RNAcentral lists this long non-coding RNA (209 nucleotides) under Jatropha curcas. Its description in RNAcentral is "long non-coding RNA (JCUR_LNC002567)". Lineage: Eukaryota; Viridiplantae; Streptophyta; Magnoliopsida; Malpighiales; Euphorbiaceae. The record is from RNAcentral.
AUAUCCUAGAAUCAUCUAAACCUAUGCUCUGAUACCAAUUGUCACACCCGACUCUAAUCACCAGAGGAAUUGUCCGCUUUGGAUCAAGCCAAAUCGCCCAUACAAGAUGGCAAGACCCGCACGGUUUUGUCCCGCAGGUGAAAUGGGAAACUUCCUAAGAGGUCACCUAUCCUGAGAUUUCCGUUAAGCGAACACGCUUAACCUUGAAG